Molecule: ribosomal RNA, 436 nt
Filed under: uncultured bacterium
Lineage: Bacteria
Description: bacterial SSU rRNA
Rfam family: Bacterial small subunit ribosomal RNA
Source: RNAcentral
CAGGCCUAACACAUGCAAGUCGAAUGAGAUCUUUCGGGGUCUAGUGGCGCACGGGUGCGUAACGCGUGGGAAUCUGCCCUUGGGUUCGGAAUAACAGCGAGAAAUUGCUGCUAAUACCGGAUAAUGACGUAAGUCCAAAGAUUUAUCGCCCAGGGAUGAGCCCGCGUAGGAUUAGCUAGUUGGUGUGGUAAAGGCGCACCAAGGCGACGAUCCUUAGCUGGUCUGAGAGGAUGAUCAGCCACACUGGGACUGAGACACGGCCCAAACUCCUACGGGAGGCAGCAGUGGGAAUAUUGGACAAUGGGCGCAAGCCUGAUCCAGCCAUGCCGCGUGAGUGAUGACGGCCUUAGGGUUGUAAAGCUCUUUCGCACGCGACGAUAAUGACGGUAGCGUGAGAAGAAGCCCCGGCUAACUUCGUGCCAGCAGCCGCGGUAAU